RNAcentral lists this small nuclear RNA (105 nucleotides) under Catagonus wagneri (Chacoan peccary). The record is from RNAcentral. Lineage: Eukaryota; Metazoa; Chordata; Mammalia; Artiodactyla; Tayassuidae.
GCUCGCUCUGACGGUGCAUAAACUAAAAUUGGCACGAUACAGAGAAGAUUAGCAUGACCCCUGUGCAAGGAUGACAUGCAAAUUUGUUAAGUGUUCCAAUAUUUU